GACGAACGCUGGCGGCGUGCUUAACACAUGCAAGUCGAACGGAAAGGCCCUGCUUGCAGGGUACUCGAGUGGCGAACGGGUGAGUAACACGUGGGUGAUCUGCCCUGCACUUCGGGAUAAGCCUGGGAAACUGGGUCUAAUACCGGAUAGGAGCCAUUUUUAGUGUGAUGGUUGGAAAGUUUUUUCGGUGUAGGAUGAGCUCGCGGCCUAUCAGCUUGUUGGUGGGGUAAUGGCCUACCAAGGCGGCGACGGGUAGCCGGCCUAAGAGGGUGGACGGCCACAUUGGGACUGAGAGACGGCCCAGACUCCUACGGGAGGCAGCAGUGGGGAAUAUUGCACAAUGGGCGCAAGCCUGAUGCAGCGACGCCGCGUGGGGGAUGACGGCCUUCGGGUUGUAAACUCCUUUCGCUAGGGACGAAGCUUUUUGUGACGGUACCUAGAGAAGAAGCACCGGCUAACUACGUG
RNAcentral lists this ribosomal RNA (465 nucleotides) under uncultured bacterium. RNAcentral's name for it is "partial 16S ribosomal RNA". It matches the Rfam family "Bacterial small subunit ribosomal RNA", at positions 28 to 507 of the family's 1533-position model. The record is from RNAcentral.